AGAAUGAACGCUGGCGGCGUGCUUAACACAUGCAAGUCGAGCGAGGCGGAAGGGGGCAACUCCUUCCAGUCGAGCGGCGGACGGGUGAGUAACACGUGGGUAACCUGCCCGGAAGUGGGGAAUACCUCGGGGAAACUCGAGCUAAUACCGCAUGACAUCUUCGGGACGAAAGUCCUGGUGAUCAAAGCGGGGUCGCAAGAUCUCGCGCUACCGGAUGGGCCCGCGCCCGAUUAGCUAGUUGGCGAGGUAACGGCUCACCAAGGCUACGAUCGGUAACCGGCCUGAGAGGGCGAGUCGGUACGACACCGGAACUGAGACACGGUCCGGACUCCUACGGGAGGCAGCAGUGGGAAUCUGCGCAAUGGGCGAAAGCCUGACGCAGCAACGCCGCGUGAGGAUGAAGGCCCUUGGUUGUAAACUCCUGUCGGCUGGAAGAAAUCGGUUACGGGUUAACUACCGUCGGACGUUGACUGUACCAGACAAAGGAACGCCCGGCUAACUCUAGUGCCAGCACGCCGCGUAA
Molecule: ribosomal RNA, 523 nt
Filed under: uncultured soil bacterium
Lineage: Bacteria
Description: bacterial SSU rRNA
Rfam family: Bacterial small subunit ribosomal RNA
Source: RNAcentral